CCUGAUUCACUUAUUUCUCAGUAACUCACAUAAGAGAAAUGCCUUUUAUACCAGGCAAGAGCAGUAAUUUAACAUGAGUGCACAUUCCAUCCACAUAUUGUUGUCAGAAACUGUUACUAAGGCAGCAGUGGAACGGGAGGAGCAGUGCUUUGUGCCAGGCUACAGUUUUCUUCCUUGCUGCUUUUGGGAAGGAAGGGCACCUACUUCUUCUCUUCCUUUGAGAAGUUAGGCUGCAACCUUUCAUAUCUCCAGAAUGCAGCCUCUGGUCCAUUCAGCUGGGAAAGCUCCCUUCUUGUCCAGAUUAUCUGUGUUCAAAAAAAAAAAAAAAAAGACGUUAAAAAUCCCAGAAGAUUGUAAAUUAAGUUGUUUUUGAAUGAAAAGUGAUUAUUCUGACUGGUAAGCUGGACAUGUAUAUCUCAGUCUCUCCCGCCUCUUCUUGUAUUUGCCAAAGCACUUCUAUUAUGCUCUGAUUCUGGAGAGUAGAUCCUGCCACUGCAGCUAGUCAAGAUGGAAUGCAGAAAUAAACCCAGAGCAAGGCAGCUUGAAAUCGUCAGUGGUAGUGCCAAAACAAUGCUGGGAUGGGGUCAAAAACAAAUGUGAGUUUUGGUUAGUUUGGGUUUGGUGAUCUCAAAUCUUGGCACAGAGGAAACACUAAAUGAGAAAGAUGAACAUAAACAAUGGAUUAUAAAUCAUCCCUGCAUUGGCCUGAUUCUCCUUUAUGAUUACUAGCAAUCAAGGUCUUUGCAACAUGGCCAGCUGUGCUUAUGUGAGAGAGUUCUGUUAUCUCCAUCACUUCUCACUUGUCAUAUAUAUGGAGCUUACAGUACCUGAAUGUGGAUUAAGAAAUACUCUCAGACUAGACCAUGGAUCAACUUCUCAGGCAUCAAUUUCACCUAUGAAAUUUUGGGUAAAAUCAUAUUUAUUUUAUUUUUAAAUAAACUGAUAAAUUAUGUCAUAGAAUACAAAUAUCACAUGAAUAUUUCUAGUUAGAAAUUAAAAUUAAAAAUAUUCUCCUUGGCGAUAAACAAAACAGCAACUGUGUCAGAUGCUGGGGGAUGAAGACUUUCUCCCCUCCAUUACUCUGGCACAGAAGUCUGAGAAGUUCUGCAAAUUCACUGGGCAUGGGGUGAGGAGUUAAAAAUCCUAUUCUUUCUUUAAGAUCUACCGUCACUAUUGGACCUAUGCCAUAAAUAUGCUGUAUUUACCCAGACAUCUCCUCUAUUUAUUUGGUUUUAGUCACAGAAUGAGCAGUUUUUACCCUCUAUGAGGUGCUACACUUAAAACUCUUCAUCUGCUACUCAGUAUAUUUUUUUGUUGAUAGAGUUUGCAUGAAAUAUGUGUUUCUUUGACCCUCCACUGAGGUAAAACAUAGUUGACAGCUUGCCUUGCCUUUCCAGCUGCAAGCAGAACUGAGAUUACCAAACCAUUCCUCCCAGUUGACUUCUGAAGGGUGCACUAGGAAUAGUUUUUUGUUGUGACUUAGGGGUUCCAAGUGUUCUCCCUUCCACCGUGGGCCAUCAUAAUGCCUAAAGCACCAUCCCUCUGAGGACAGUAGUGAUCUUGAUGUGCCAAUGGAAGAUGAAAGGGAAAUCCCCUCAGCUAUUUAUCACUCAUAAACGUCUUAAUUCAAACUAGUUGGCCAUAAUUUUAAAACUUGUCCUUAAAUUCUUUAAUACUCUUACCAUCAAACAGUGGGAUUUAAUUCUCCUUUCCUUGAAUAUAGGGCAGCCUUAGUGACUCACUUAAAUGAGCACAAUUAGGCAGAACUGACACUGUGUGGCUUUUCAAACAAGGGUAGGGAAGGCAACACAGCCUUUGCCUAAAACUCAUUCUCUCUCUCUCUCUCUCUCUCUCUUUCUCUCUCUGUAUGCAUAUUUGGAAUCCUGAGCCAACAUGUAAGAAAUUCAGCUACUCUGAAGCUACCAUGCUGGAAAGGCCAUGUGGAGAAAAACAUGGACAUAAAGAUGCUUGGGCUCUAGCUGUUUCAGCCUUCAGCUGUCUGAGACUUCCUAGUCUAGGCACCAGGCAUGUGAAUGAAGAUCCUUCAGAGAAUUCCAGCCUUUAAGCUGCCCCAGCUGCUGCCAAGUGAGACAGAGAUGAGCUGUCCCUGCUGAGCCCUAAAGCUGCAGAUUCAUGAGCAAAAUAAAUGUUGUUGUUUUAAGCCA
This is a long non-coding RNA of Vulpes vulpes (red fox), 2165 nucleotides long. Lineage: Eukaryota; Metazoa; Chordata; Mammalia; Carnivora; Canidae. The record is from Ensembl.